GAUGAAGAACGCAGCGAAAUGCGAUAAGUAAUGUGAAUUGCAGAAUUCAGUGAAUCAUCGAAUCUUUGAACGCACAUUGCACCCGCCAGUAUUCUGGCGGGCAUGCCUGUUCGAGCGUCAUUUCAACCAUCAAGCCCUGCUUGCGUUGGGGUCCUGCGGCUGCCCGCAGGCCCUGAAAACCAGUGGCGGGCUCGCUAGUCACACCGAGCGCAGUAAUACAUCUCGCUUUGGGCGUGCGGCGGGUUCUUGCCGUUAAACACCCCCUUUUUACCAAGGUUGACCUCGGAUCAGGUAGGAAUACCCGCUGAACUUAAGCAUAUCAAUAAGCGGAGGA
RNAcentral lists this unclassified non-coding RNA (334 nucleotides) under soil metagenome. RNAcentral describes it as "partial contains 5.8S ribosomal RNA, internal transcribed spacer 2, and large subunit ribosomal RNA". The stretch from base 1 to 120 matches the Rfam family "5.8S ribosomal RNA", at positions 35 to 154 of the family's 154-position model. The record is from RNAcentral.